CCUACGGGAGGCAGCAGUGGGGAAUAUUGGGCAAUGGGCGCAAGCCUGACCCAGCAACGCCGCGUGAAGGAAGAAGGCUUUCGGGUUGUAAACUUCUUUUAAGGGGGAAGAGCAGAAGACGGUACCCCUUGAAUAAGCCACGGCUAACUACGUGCCAGCAGCCGCGGUAAUACGUAGGUGGCAAGCGUUGUCCGGAUUUACUGGGUGUAAAGGGCGUGCAGCCGGAGAGAAAAGUCAGAUGUGAAAUCCACGGGCUCAACCCGUGAACUGCAUUUGAAACUGUUUCCCUUGAGUGUCGGAGAGGUAAUCGGAAUUCCUUGUGUAGCGGUGAAAUGCGUAGAUAUAAGGAAGAACACCAGUGGCGAAGGCGGAUUACUGGACGAUAACUGACGGUGAGGCGCGAAAGCGUGGGGAGCAAACAGGAUUAGAUACCCCUGUAGUC
Molecule: ribosomal RNA, 442 nt
Filed under: uncultured bacterium
Lineage: Bacteria
Description: partial 16S ribosomal RNA
Rfam family: Bacterial small subunit ribosomal RNA
Source: RNAcentral